Regulatory RNA element from Actinokineospora spheciospongiae, 38 nucleotides. It matches the Rfam family "L31-Actinobacteria ribosomal protein leader". Lineage: Bacteria; Bacillati; Actinomycetota; Actinomycetes; Pseudonocardiales; Pseudonocardiaceae. The record is from Rfam.
CCGGUUUCGGUUCACCCCGUGACGGGGACCCGACGACC